Molecule: microRNA, 22 nt
Filed under: Homo sapiens (human)
Lineage: Eukaryota; Metazoa; Chordata; Mammalia; Primates; Hominidae
Description: hsa-miR-6838-5p
Source: miRBase by way of RNAcentral
AAGCAGCAGUGGCAAGACUCCU